UCUAAUGAAGCAUACACAUGUUAAAUAUUAUAUUGCUAAACCUCAAGAUCAUGCAUAAAAUGUGAAAUGCUCAAACUUCAGCGAUCUAAGGAUGUUAUUAGAAAUUUCAGUCAGAUUCUAACUUCUUUCAAUAGUAAGUAGUGCAUCAAAUUUUAGCUCAAUCUUCUCAUGACACUGUUCAAAUCUUAAAUACAAUAAUUGCAUCUUUUUUUUUUUUUU
Non-coding RNA from Biomphalaria pfeifferi, 219 nucleotides. NCBI's taxonomy places the organism in Eukaryota, Metazoa, Mollusca, Gastropoda, Planorbidae. The record is from the annotation of a GenBank genome assembly.